This 292-nucleotide ribosomal RNA is filed under the name uncultured bacterium. Its description in RNAcentral is "partial 16S ribosomal RNA". It matches the Rfam family "Bacterial small subunit ribosomal RNA", at positions 505 to 796 of the family's 1533-position model. The record is from RNAcentral.
GUGCCAGCCGCCGCGGUCAUACAGAGGGUGCAAGCGUUAAUCGGAAUUACUGGGCGUAAAGCGCGCGUAGGUGGCUAAGUAAGAUGGGUGUGAAAUCCCCGGGCUCAACCUGGGAACUGCAUCCAUAACUGCUUAGCUAGAGUACGGUAGAGGGUAGUGGAAUUUCCUGUGUAGCGGUGAAAUGCGUAGAUAUAGGAAGGAACACCAGUGGCGAAGGCGACUACCUGGACUGAUACUGACACUGAGGUGCGAAAGCGUGGGGAGCAAACAGGAUUAGAUACCCGAGUAGUCC